Long non-coding RNA from Physella acuta, 340 nucleotides. RefSeq lists it as uncharacterized. The record is from RefSeq and is a predicted model, not a curated record. NCBI's taxonomy places the organism in Eukaryota, Metazoa, Mollusca, Gastropoda, Physidae.
UUUUAAAUUGAUGAUCCCGACAAAAGUUGGGAGCGCAGUGUUGACCUUUGUACAGGUGUGUUGACCUUUGUCCAGGUGUGUUAACCUUUGUACAGGUGUGUUGACCUUUGUACAGGUGUGUUGACCUUUGUCCAGGUGUGUUGACCUUUGUCAGGAGCGUUAACCUUUGUCGGUUGUGUUAACUUUUGUCCAGGUGUGUUAACCAAUGUCCAGGUGUGUUAACCUUUGUACAGGUGUGUUGACCUUUGUACAGGUGUGUGUUAACCUUUGUUCACUUGUUUAACACUACCACGGUAGUUUGUAUCACCUGCUUUGCCUUGCCUCAGAUUUUCUGGCACUG